GUGAGCAGAGUGCAAACUUCUAAAUCAUGUCAUUAAGCAGCCAAAUUUAUAAAAUUUCCCAUUAUUAAGGAAAGGUAUAGCCACUCAAUGUUAUUGGUAAAAUCAUUUUAUUCUAAAAACAGCAACAACAAUAGCAAACUUACUUGUAAAAUGGCUAAAAUGAAAAACAAAACAACUCAUUUCCAUCAACUUAUUGUAGGAGAACAAUACUGCCACAUAAACAGCAAUAAGACGAAGACUUCUAUUUCUUUUGGUGUAAUUGAAAGCAUCUUGAUAAAUGUCAGCUUGUCUGUUGAAUAAAAUCCAUGUCAACCUGUCACAUAAAAAUACAACAUUUUUUUUUCAUAAUCUCAUGAAGUCAAGGCAUUCCCUGGGCUUCAAGCUUGUUCCAGUGAGAAACAAUAAGAUCUUUAUGCAGCUAUUCACUUUGAGGUAUAAAUAACCAGAACCCCAGAUAAGAAAAUUAUAUUUACAGCCUAACUUUAUUAUUUUAAAAUUGUUGUUUUUCUCCUUAGCAGAUCAGCUGACUGUGGAUUGCUGGAAAUCCCUGCACAUUUUAUCAUGCCUCAGUCAGCAAUAUAUUCUUGGCUUCAGAAACAUUGAUGUUGAAAACCGAACAUCUGGUCUUCCCUUUCUACCCCCGCUUCUACCAUUUCUCCCCCAAAUAAUCAGCAUUUCCUCCUUUGCUUCCCUGGCUUGAGUAGCUUUAAAACUUGAAUUUGGUGUAUAUUACAUUAUAUUUAUUUGGUUUUGAGCCACUUUGAUACUACUUCCAGUUCUGUAAAGUUCUUAGCAGUGCCAUUUCUGUUGUUCCUUUUUAGAAACCACUUAAAAGAAAGAUUAAAUGUUACUCUGAUGGGUUGGAUUAAUUGGUCACUAGUAAAAGGAAUUAUAUCGCUGCCCAAGGUGAGAAUCCUAUUUCUUUCCUCUCACCUAUUAUGGAUAUUUUUAAAACAGACCUAAAUGGAAAUCUUCCCAUAAUGACAUUCUAGACCUGAAGCUUCUUAUUUUUCUAGACCUGGAACUGAAUGCAAAAUGCAAUGUGUAUGUGGUAUGCAUGUUUUCUUUUACUUGACUUUAAUAAGUUUCUCAAAAUGAUCUAUAAGCCUUAUAUUUUAAGAACCACAUUUCUAAGCCAAGAAGAUUCAUCACUUACUUUAUAUAAACCCCCAAAUUUCCUCCUUGAACCACUGCUAAUUUUCACACAGUGUGAGGGAUACUGCUGAAUAUAAACUUGUCGGGUAGAAUAUAGAGAAAAGGCAAAUCCAGAGUGAUCCAACAGCAUUCCCAAAUGCAUCCAAAAUACUGGAGUGCAGGACGCAACCAGGAUUAUUUGAAUUCCAUUUGGAUCCCCAUAAUUCCAUUCUUUUUAAAAACGGGUCAUCCUUUUCUUUAUUAUAAUGAAGCAUUCUUUAAUAUUUCUUGCCUCUCUGGUUGAAGAUGCUUUUGAAAAGCAAGACUUUAGUUGUAUAUUUUUUCUGGAUUCCCUAGCAAUAUAUUUUGAUGCAAUCAUUGAAAAAUGUCAUGCUCUCUCUGGGGUCUUCGCAGUCAAUGGUAACUAAACAUUUGAUUGAGAAGUGUACUUUCUGUGGACUUUUUUAGGGUCACUGCGAUGUGAACAGAACCCAGUAGAAUUCACUUCUGCUGUUUCAUUUUAAAAUAGGGUUGAGAAUGGAAAUAAUGCCUUUCUAAGUGGAACUGAACUUCAACUUUGAAGGGAUGCUAUAGAUUUCUGAGGGAGCAAGAGCUUGUGUCUGGAACCCAGCAUCUCCAUGUGGUUAACAGCUUCUAAAAUUUAUCUCAUGUGUUUAAGGUUUUUUGUAUAAAUUUAAGGGACUUCACAUUUCUAACCAGUGUGUUAACACUUAGAUUAAGACCACACUUACACACCCUUUUCUUACUUAAGAGCAAUUAAAUGGUGUACUAACAAGAAGAAAGUUACUUUAUUUACAGUGUUGAUGGAAAAAUAUUGGCAAUGUGAUAACUAUUACUAUAAAAAUAUGAUUUUUUAAUACUUCUAAACUAACCUUUGAAAAAGGCUGUGUCUUUUUUCUUUUUUUCAAGGCAAGGUUCUUGGAACCACUUGGUGAGUCUAUAUCGAAUAUUUUACUUUCUUUUUUCUGUGAGACAGCAAAAAGUUCAUCCAAAUAGAACCAUGCUUCUACCACAUAAAUCACUCAGAAAAUCUGGUAACUUUCCAUGUGAUUCAGUUAAAUCCUUUAAAUCCCACAGGAGAAUUUACUUGCUUUUGGCAUAUUUCACCAUAUUAGGAGGAAAACCAGUCUCCAGGGACGUGGUGGUUAACGUGAAUGGGCCAAAGGCAGAUGUCCUAAACUCAGUUUUGUUAGCUUAGGCAUUUUCAGAUGGUGUUUCUCUUGGUCAAAGUUCCUCGAGAAGUUUCUUUUCUGUGUCCUCCGUCCCCGCUUAGGUCCCCCACAAUGUCUUUAAAAGGACAGACCCUUUCCUUUUAUAAUUAAAUAUAAGAUUUAAAUGUAGAGGGCCGUUAACAUGUUAAACUAAACCCAGCCUUACCUAACACCAGGAUGGGUGGGUUUGAGUGCACAGCAAGAGAUGCAGGGAGAAUAGAAGAGAGCAAGACACUCGCUGAGAAGUGGAGGGGCUGAAGGAAGCAAACCAAGUCUUCUCCCAUUUCUCAAUUUUGCCCAAGGCUGGCCCACAUGUUAGUGGAUUCUCUGAGCUGAGAUAGAAAUCCACCUUCUGGAGGCGGUUGCUAUUAUAUGGGUUGUGCAAACUCUAAACAACUUUACUCCAGAAGACUUUUGCAUCCUGCAUAUUUUUAAGUUUUAUUACAUAAAUAUGAAUGCACAAUGCCCAGGAAAGAGGUGUUCUGUGUCCUAAGAAGAGUCACUGUUUGUUCAUAGAUGCUCAGGUCAUGACUCACAUGCUUUUUAAGAGACUUUUCUUUCAAGUGAAUGUAAAUGGGGUGGAGGAAGGGAGAGAGGGAGACAAAAUCAGGGACAGAAUGCCAUCCACUAUAAAUUAUAUUGAUGUCACAAUGAAAAGAAAUAGCUCCUCUGCAAGACUUCACAUAUUCAAGUCAACAAAUGGCUAAGUGUUGUAAAUAUUUCCCAGUUCCAUGGGUUUGAGAGUAAAUUUUAAAAAUCAUAUUGGGGCUCUCUGCUAAAGAUAGUAGAAGUCCAGCCUCUCCCAGAGUCAGACUGGUCAUUGGUCAUCUCCACUCCUAGAAGAGUUUCAAACAUCUGUACUUUCAGACUGGAGGAAAUAAGGACCCAGUGGUUGUACUGGAGAAUUUUAUCCCUAAGCCCUGCCUGACAAUACAACGAAACUGACAUCAAGGACGAGUGAAGAAACAAUGAACCAGACAGUCUAUAACCAGCAUGGAACACUAUUGUAGGUGGAGAAUUUCAGGAAAGAGAUAAGAUACAGAAGGCUCUGGGAUCUCCCUAACCAACAUUUCACUGACUAACACCCUAAAACAGGAUCAAACUCUUCACCUUCUCCAGCCAAAUCACUGAAUUGAUGCAAUCCAGGAGGUCUUAAGAACAGUUGUUUUAAGAGAUAUUUGAAAAAAAAAAUAAAGGAUUAACCUCUCCACUUGAUUUUUCCUUAUCACCAAUGUAGCACUUAAACACGAUCCUAUAGUAGUUUAAUUCUUACUAACUUGAGCAGAAAAGAAAAAAAAUUAGAAAGAAAUCAG
RNAcentral lists this long non-coding RNA (3679 nucleotides) under Homo sapiens (human). RNAcentral's name for it is "HSALNT0120994". The record is from RNAcentral. Lineage: Eukaryota; Metazoa; Chordata; Mammalia; Primates; Hominidae.